AGGACUGUAGUUAAAAAUAACAUUUAAUUUGCAAUUAAAAGGUAUUGAUUAAUCAAUCUGUCUU
This 64-nucleotide transfer RNA is filed under the name Mnais costalis. RNAcentral's name for it is "tRNA-Ala". It matches the Rfam family "tRNA". From Rfam's summary of the family: Transfer RNA (tRNA) molecules are approximately 80 nucleotides in length. Their secondary structure includes four short double-helical elements and three loops (D, anti-codon, and T loops). Further hydrogen bonds mediate the characteristic L-shaped molecular structure. tRNAs have two regions of fundamental functional importance: the anti-codon, which is responsible for specific mRNA codon recognition, and the 3' end, to which the tRNAs corresponding amino acid is attached (by aminoacyl-tRNA synthetases). tRNAs cope with the degeneracy of the genetic code in two manners: having more than one tRNA (with a specific anti-codon) for a particular amino acid; and 'wobble' base-pairing, i.e. permitting non-standard base-pairing at the 3rd anti-codon position. Lineage: Eukaryota; Metazoa; Arthropoda; Insecta; Odonata; Calopterygidae. The record is from RNAcentral.